GGGUUGUGAGGUUAAGCGACUAAGCGUACACGGUGGAUGCCCUGGCAGUCAGAGGCGAUGAAGGACGUGCUAAUCUGCGAUAAGCGUCGGUAAGGUGAUAUGAACCGUUAUAACCGGCGAUUUCCGAAUGGGGAAACCCAGUGUGUUUCGACACACUAUCAUUAACUGAAUCCAUAGGUUAAUGAGGCGAACCGGGGGAACUGAAACAUCUAAGUACCCCGAGGAAAAGAAAUCAACCGAGAUUCCCCCAGUAGCGGCGAGCGAACGGGGAGCAGCCCAGAGCCUGAAUCAGUGUGUGUGUUAGUGGAAGCGUCUGGAAAGGCGCGCGAUACAGGGUGACAGCCCCGUACACAAAAAUGCACAUGCUGUGAGCUCGAUGAGUAGGGCGGGACACGUGGUAUCCUGUCUGAAUAUGGGGGGACCAUCCUCCAAGGCUAAAUACUCCUGACUGACCGAUAGUGAACCAGUACCGUGAGGGAAAGGCGAAAAGAACCCCGGCGAGGGGAGUGAAAAAGAACCUGAAACCGUGUACGUACAAGCAGUGGGAGCACGCUUAGGCGUGUGACUGCGUACCUUUUGUAUAAUGGGUCAGCGACUUAUAUUCUGUAGCAAGGUUAACCGAAUAGGGGAGCCGAAGGGAAACCGAGUCUUAACUGGGCGUUAAGUUGCAGGGUAUAGACCCGAAACCCGGUGAUCUAGCCAUGGGCAGGUUGAAGGUUGGGUAACACUAACUGGAGGACCGAACCGACUAAUGUUGAAAAAUUAGCGGAUGACUUGUGGCUGGGGGUGAAAGGCCAAUCAAACCGGGAGAUAGCUGGUUCUCCCCGAAAGCUAUUUAGGUAGCGCCUCGUGAAUUCAUCUCCGGGGGUAGAGCACUGUUUCGGCAAGGGGGUCAUCCCGACUUACCAACCCGAUGCAAACUGCGAAUACCGGAGAAUGUUAUCACGGGAGACACACGGCGGGUGCUAACGUCCGUCGUGAAGAGGGAAACAACCCAGACCGCCAGCUAAGGUCCCAAAGUCAUGGUUAAGUGGGAAACGAUGUGGGAAGGCCCAGACAGCCAGGAUGUUGGCUUAGAAGCAGCCAUCAUUUAAAGAAAGCGUAAUAGCUCACUGGUCGAGUCGGCCUGCGCGGAAGAUGUAACGGGGCUAAACCAUGCACCGAAGCUGCGGCAGCGACACUAUGUGUUGUUGGGUAGGGGAGCGUUCUGUAAGCCUGUGAAGGUGUGCUGUGAGGCAUGCUGGAGGUAUCAGAAGUGCGAAUGCUGACAUAAGUAACGAUAAAGCGGGUGAAAAGCCCGCUCGCCGGAAGACCAAGGGUUCCUGUCCAACGUUAAUCGGGGCAGGGUGAGUCGACCCCUAAGGCGAGGCCGAAAGGCGUAGUCGAUGGGAAACAGGUUAAUAUUCCUGUACUUGGUGUUACUGCGAAGGGGGGACGGAGAAGGCUAUGUUGGCCGGGCGACGGUUGUCCCGGUUUAAGCGUGUAGGCUGGUUUUCCAGGCAAAUCCGGAAAAUCAAGGCUGAGGCGUGAUGACGAGGCACUACGGUGCUGAAGCAACAAAUGCCCUGCUUCCAGGAAAAGCCUCUAAGCAUCAGGUAACAUCAAAUCGUACCCCAAACCGACACAGGUGGUCAGGUAGAGAAUACCAAGGCGCUUGAGAGAACUCGGGUGAAGGAACUAGGCAAAAUGGUGCCGUAACUUCGGGAGAAGGCACGCUGAUAUGUAGGUGAAGUCCCUUGCGGAUGGAGCUGAAAUCAGUCGAAGAUACCAGCUGGCUGCAACUGUUUAUUAAAAACACAGCACUGUGCAAACACGAAAGUGGACGUAUACGGUGUGACGCCUGCCCGGUGCCGGAAGGUUAAUUGAUGGGGUCAGCGCAAGCGAAGCUCUUGAUCGAAGCCCCGGUAAACGGCGGCCGUAACUAUAACGGUCCUAAGGUAGCGAAAUUCCUUGUCGGGUAAGUUCCGACCUGCACGAAUGGCGUAAUGAUGGCCAGGCUGUCUCCACCCGAGACUCAGUGAAAUUGAACUCGCUGUGAAGAUGCAGUGUACCCGCGGCAAGACGGAAAGACCCCGUGAACCUUUACUAUAGCUUGACACUGAACAUUGAGCCUUGAUGUGUAGGAUAGGUGGGAGGCUUUGAAGUGUGGACGCCAGUCUGCAUGGAGCCGACCUUGAAAUACCACCCUUUAAUGUUUGAUGUUCUAACGUGGACCCGUGAUCCGGGUUGCGGACAGUGUCUGGUGGGUAGUUUGACUGGGGCGGUCUCCUCCUAAAGAGUAACGGAGGAGCACGAAGGUUGGCUAAUCCUGGUCGGACAUCAGGAGGUUAGUGCAAUGGCAUAAGCCAGCUUGACUGCGAGCGUGACGGCGCGAGCAGGUGCGAAAGCAGGUCAUAGUGAUCCGGUGGUUCUGAAUGGAAGGGCCAUCGCUCAACGGAUAAAAGGUACUCCGGGGAUAACAGGCUGAUACCGCCCAAGAGUUCAUAUCGACGGCGGUGUUUGGCACCUCGAUGUCGGCUCAUCACAUCCUGGGGCUGAAGUAGGUCCCAAGGGUAUGGCUGUUCGCCAUUUAAAGUGGUACGCGAGCUGGGUUUAGAACGUCGUGAGACAGUUCGGUCCCUAUCUGCCGUGGGCGCUGGAGAACUGAGGGGGGCUGCUCCUAGUACGAGAGGACCGGAGUGGACGCAUCACUGGUGUUCGGGUUGUCAUGCCAAUGGCACUGCCCGGUAGCUAAAUGCGGAAGAGAUAAGUGCUGAAAGCAUCUAAGCACGAAACUUGCCCCGAGAUGAGUUCUCCCUGACCCUUUAAGGGUCCUGAAGGAACGUUGAAGACGACGACGUUGAUAGGCCGGGUGUGUAAGCGCAGCGAUGCGUUGAGCUAACCGGUACUAAUGAACCGUGAGGCUUAACCUUACAACGCCGAAGCUGUU
Molecule: ribosomal RNA, 2929 nt
Filed under: Escherichia coli
Lineage: Bacteria; Pseudomonadati; Pseudomonadota; Gammaproteobacteria; Enterobacterales; Enterobacteriaceae
Description: 23S ribosomal RNA
Rfam family: Bacterial large subunit ribosomal RNA
Source: RNAcentral